AUUGAACGCUGGCGGCAUGCCUUACACAUGCAAGUCGAACGGUAACGCGGGGCAACCUGGCGACGAGUGGCGAACGGGUGAGUAAUGCAUCGGAACGUGCCCAGUAGUGGGGGAUAGCCCGGCGAAAGCCGGAUUAAUACCGCAUACGACCUACGGGUGAAAGGGGGGGAUCGCAAGACCUCUCGCUAUUGGAGCGGCCGAUGUCAGAUUAGGUAGUUGGUGGGGUAAAGGCCUACCAAGCCUACGAUCUGUAGCUGGUCUGAGAGGACGACCAGCCACACUGGGACUGAGACACGGCCCAGACUCCUACGGGAGGCAGCAGUGGGGAAUUUUGGACAAUGGGCGCAAGCCUGAUCCAGCCAUGCCGCGUGCGGGAAGAAGGCCUUCGGGUUGUAAACCGCUUUUGUCAGGGAAGAAACGCUCUGGACUAAUACUCUGGGGUAAUGACGGUACCUGAAGAAUAAGCACCGGCUAACUACGUGCCAGCAGCCGCCGUAA
Molecule: ribosomal RNA, 498 nt
Filed under: uncultured bacterium
Lineage: Bacteria
Description: partial 16S ribosomal RNA
Rfam family: Bacterial small subunit ribosomal RNA
Source: RNAcentral